Molecule: ribosomal RNA, 1150 nt
Filed under: human gut metagenome
Description: bacterial SSU rRNA
Rfam family: Bacterial small subunit ribosomal RNA
Source: RNAcentral
AGCAGUGGGGAAUAUUGCACAAUGGGCGCAAGCCUGAUGCAGCAACGCCGCGUGAAGGAAGACGGUUUUCGGAUUGUAAACUUCUGUUCUUAGUGAAGAAUAAUGACGGUAGCUAAGGAGCAAGCCACGGCUAACUACGUGCCAGCAGCCGCGGUAAUACGUAGGUGGCAAGCGUUGUCCGGAAUUACUGGGUGUAAAGGGAGCGCAGGCGGGUGAUCAAGUCAGCUGUGAAAACUACGGGCUUAACCCGUAGACUGCAGUUGAAACUGUUCAUCUUGAGUGAAGUAGAGGUUGGCGGAAUUCCGAGUGUAGCGGUGAAAUGCGUAGAUAUUCGGAGGAACACCAGUGGCGAAGGCGGCCUGCUGGGCUUUUACUGACGCUGAGGCUCGAAAGUGUGGGGAGCAAACAGGAUUAGAUACCCUGGUAGUCCACACUGUAAACGAUGAUUGCUAGGUGUGGGGGGUCUGACCCCUUCCGUGCCGGAGCUAACGCAAUAAGCAAUCCACCUGGGGAGUACGACCGCAAGGUUGAAACUCAAAGGAAUUGACGGGGACCCGCACAAGCAGUGGAUUAUGUGGUUUAAUUCGAAGCAACGCGAAGAACCUUACCAGCACUUGACAUCCAACUAACGAAAUAGAGAUAUAUUAGGUGCCCUUCGGGGAAAGUUGAGACAGGUGGUGCAUGGUUGUCGUCAGCUCGUGUCGUGAGAUGUUGGGUUAAGUCCCGCAACGAGCGCAACCCUCGCCAUUAGUUGCUACGCAAGAGCACUCUAAUGGGACCGCUACCGACAAGGUGGAGGAAGGUGGGGACGACGUCAAAUCAUCAUGCCCCUUAUGUGCUGGGCUACACACGUAAUACAAUGGCCAUCAACAGAGAGAAGCAAUACCGCGAGGUGGAGCAAAACUUCAAAAAUGGUCUCAGUUCGGACUGCAGGCUGCAACCCGCCUGCACGAAGUUGGAAUUGCUAGUAAUCGUGGAUCAGCAUGCCACGGUGAAUACGUUCCCGGGUCUUGUACACACCGCCCGUCACACCAUGGGAGCCGGUAACACCCGAAGUCAGUAGUCUAACCGCAAGGAGGACGCUGCCGAAGGUGGGAUUGGCGACUGGGGUGAAGUCGUAACAAGGUAGCCGUAUCGGAAGGUGCGGCUG